Molecule: ribosomal RNA, 807 nt
Filed under: uncultured Syndiniales
Lineage: Eukaryota; Dinophyceae; Syndiniales
Description: bacterial SSU rRNA
Rfam family: Eukaryotic small subunit ribosomal RNA
Source: RNAcentral
AUAAGUCAUUUUACGACCAAACUGCCAAUGGCUCAUUAAACCAGUUAUAGUUUCUUUGCUGGUCAAUCGUUAUACGGAUAACUGUGGUAAUUCUAGAGCUAAUACGUGCACAAAGACCCGACUUCCCGGAAGGGUUGCAUUCAUUAGAUACAGAACCAUCCCCUUCGGGGUUUUGGAUGAUCCAUAAUGAAUGAGCGGAGCGCAUGGCUUGUGUCGGCGCUGUAGCAUUCAAGUUUCUGACCUAUCAGCUUUCGACGGUAGGGUAUUGGCCUACCGUGGCAUUGACGGGUAACGGAGAAUUAGGGUUCGAUUCCGGAGAGGGAGCCCGAGAAACGGCUACCACAUCUAAGGAAGGCAGCAGGCGCGCAAAUUACCCAAUCCUGAUUUAGGGAGGUAGUGACAAGAAAUAACAGUGCUGUUCUCUUUGAGAAUAUGCAUCUGGAAUGAUUUGCAUGUAAAUAUCGCUUGGACUAUCAAUUGGAGGGCAAGUCUGGUGCCAGCAGCCGCGGUAAUUCCAGCUCCAUUAGUGUAUAUUAAAGUUGUUGCGGUUAAAAAGCUCGUAGUUGGAUUUCUGUUGGGUAUCGCGUGGUCUGCUCCUCGAGUACGUAUCUGCGUCGAUCCUGGCAUCCUCGCAACGCUCUGUGGCAUUAAUUUGCUGCUUGGCUUGCGACUUUUACUUUGAGGAAAUUAGAGUGUUCACGGCAGGCAUUUGCUUUGAAUAUAUUAGCAUGGAAUAAUAACAUAGGACUUCGGUUUUAUUUUGUUGGUUUCUAAGGCUGAAGUAAUGAUUAAUAGGGACAAUUGGGG